Long non-coding RNA from Grammomys surdaster, 3156 nucleotides. RefSeq lists it as uncharacterized. The record is from RefSeq and is a predicted model, not a curated record. NCBI's taxonomy places the organism in Eukaryota, Metazoa, Chordata, Mammalia, Rodentia, Muridae. The transcript is spliced from 4 exons.
AGAGUGGUCAAAUAUUGACCAAUAAUGUUUCCUUUGUGUGCUUCCCCCUUCCUCUCUUCUGAAUCAUUACUACUUGGAGUCCGAAGACAGCCUGCAUAGGACCGGGGCAGCUUAGUGGGCAGACUUGGUGACCAAGGAAAGAGGCUGGGCCUGAAGCACAGGGAGGGCCUGGUGGGCAUGGAGCGUGGCUGGGAAAGAAGGGGGAGAGGUCAGCAGAGCGGCGGGCAUAGAGCCCAAGGGCAAGGGCCUGGACAGGAGUGGGGGCUGGCUGGCCAUCUGGCUGGAGUUGCUGGCUGCAGCCUUAGCUGACAGGAAGGCAGCUGAGUGGAGAGCCAGCUGGGCCCGGGUCUCCGGUUUGGUGGUGAGCGACAGGGGCUGGGCUUGCUCGGAGUGGGUAGCCGCAGGGGCAGCUGGUGAUGCCAAGGCCGCGGAGGGAGUUGCAGGGGAGUCCAGCGUGCUGCCAUGGGAAGACGCAGGGCUAUCACAAGGCUUCUCAGGGGGCAGGUACUGAAUGCAUGGCUUCUUGCUCUUAGAGGCCAGAGCACCUAAGGGUACAAACACAAGGAAAUAGGAUUGGCUGAUAGCAGGAACAGCAGCAGCUUAGACACAGGAACAUAGCCUCGUGGAUUUGUGGCUCGGUCCGUGGAUUCAAUCCAGAGCCCAUGAGAAAUAGCCAGGGAAAACACCUCGUUGGUACUAAACACAUGCAUUUAUUUUCUUUGCUAUUUUUCGAUAAGCAAACAGAACCUAAUGGCUAUUUCUACAGCAUUCACUGUGAGGGGGAUUAUCCGGCAUCUAGAGUUGGUAUAGGAUCGAUGGAAGAUUUGCAUAAGAUUUAUGCAAAUAUAAGGCCACCCACUCAAGGGGCUUAAGCACCUGGGGUUCAGCUAUUUGAGAAGUGGAAGAUGGUGGGGCCUUGAAACCAAUCCAAAGGAUAUUCAGGUGUGACUGCACAUUGGAAAGCAUGCCACCUCUGGAAGGGAACUUCAGAGAUGAUUCCAGCUAGCUCCUGUUUUUACCUUAUGCAUCGACUGUAGGACAUAACCCUAAAGGGACAGUUCAGCUGCACUGAGACGUGUCUGAGCUUUGAAGACUGUCCCCCCAUUCCCUUUAAAAUACUUGCUGUCUUAAAGAGAGGAACUGGGAAAUCCUCUAAACUCUUCAAAGCUUUAUAUGAGGGCGCUGGGGGCAAACUCAAGGUUGAUUGGCAGUGUUCUCCGCCUCUUACUUGGCCUUCUCUGAAAGAAAGUGCUGCCAUCUGCUACGGUUGCUCAAGAACACCGAGUCUUCAGAGACUCAGGUAACUUAAGCAAGAGUGUCUGGGACAGUGGGAGAGGAAGCAAGGGGCUCCCAGGACUCACCCUCUGCCUCUUGGAUUUGCUGCUGAGACUGUGUCUGUGACAGCUGCUUUUCUCUCUUCCUCUUCUUCUUCUUCCCCUGAAAAACAUGGCCAUGGGACUGAUGAAUAGGGACAGAAUAAUACUGGCUUGUCAAGAGGACUCCAGACUACCUCAGAACACAGAUGGCAGUCCCUCUCCUGAUUGUUCCUGGGUCCAAGGUGCUGGAGAACUGGCCUGGGAGAGAAGCAAAAGCAGCUCUGCCCUGAUUCCUCAUAAAGUCCCUCUGGUAGGGCAACCAAGCUUCUUGAUCCUGAUGGCCUUCAAGCUAGUCUGUCUCUUGCAUCCUUUACUCCCUAGAAGAGUGGUUACUCCCUCCUACUCACAAUGUGUGUGUGCAUGAAUGUGCACAUUAUAUAUGUAUGUAAGUACAUACAAUGUACAUGGGGACCAGAGGACAACCCUGGAUGGCAUUCCUCAGUCACUGUCUACCUUUUUUGGAGACACGGUCUCUUCAUGGGCCUGGAACUUACCAAACAGGCUAGGCUGGCUGGCUGGCUAGUGAACCCAAAGGAUUGUUCUGUCCAGGGCUGAGAGUCUAGGUACACACCACCAUGCCCCAGUUCUUCAUGUAGGUGUUGAAGAUUAACACUUGACCUCUUGCCAAGCAGGCAUUUCACCUACUGAGCUAUCGCCCUGGCCUGGUUGUUGAUCUUCUCUGAGCAGCCCCAGAUCCCUCUGAAAACUUGAUGCAGCUACUACAAACCCUCUCACCAAGUUUAAAAAAAAGAAAGAAAGAAAGAAAGAAAGAAAGAAAGAAAGAAAGAAAGAAAAGGAAAAGAGAGAAUAAAAGCAUAUAUACAAAAAUCCAAUAAGUCUUGCGGAGUUUCUAGACACAGCCCCCCCCAAAUUCAAACUUGGCUUCCUUAUUUAUAGGAAACAAGUCUCCUCCUCUAGAAUCAAGCCCAAGUAGCCUGCUCUCCCUCCUCUGCAUCCUGAAGAUGCCGCUCCCAAGGUCUGCAUUCCCGCACGCGCCGUGUGAACACUUACAUAGUUGUCCCGGGCUGACCAGGUCGGGUAGAGCUGCGCGUGAAGCUGCCGUUCUUUCCGGGCGAGCUCAUAGUACUUGGCCUGUUCUUCUCUUGACAGGUUGUGCCACUAAGGGAGAGAGGGUGAAGACACAGAGCGAUCAGGGUCGGGGGAGGCACUGAAGCCUGCUGCCAGGAAGAGUUGACAGGAGCAGGCAUUACCUUUCUUCCCAGGAUUUGGUUAAUGGCUGCACUUUCCUUCAGGGUACACUCGGCCACCACCUUGGCCCUCAUCUCCUUCAUAUACAACAUGAAGGCAUUCAGAGGCUUUUUCACGUGACAGACUGGUUUAUGGCCAGAAGUGGCAGUCACUAAUAUCCCUGGACUGUGACAUCAUGUUGGCAGCCCCAGCCCUACGACUCACCUAGACAUUGAAGCAUUCAUGGCGAGGGCAGGGAGCUGCCUGCCCUGCAUGCCCAGGAGGACCACACCCUGGGAAGCCCUUGUCUUUCCUCAUCUCUACCCGUUUCAUCUUCUAGCAGGACUAGGCGGUCACCUCAAGGGCAUCCAAGGAAGCGAGGACCCAGAUACCAUCUCUCUAGCUACCCAGAAGCCAUCUCUGUGGAUGUAACUUUCUUUUGUUGACUGGACAAGGAUUCAUACAAGGUCCAGGAAAUACUCAACAGAGAGCAAAAAUUAUCCUAAGCCCUCAUUUAUUUAACUUUCUAGAAAAACAGCUUCAUUCCCAAUACAAUAAACGUACUCUGUCAAUAAAGCACCCUGCCUCUAAA